This 659-nucleotide long non-coding RNA is filed under the name Phoenix dactylifera (date palm). Its description in RNAcentral is "long non-coding RNA (PDAC_LNC019863)". The record is from RNAcentral. Lineage: Eukaryota; Viridiplantae; Streptophyta; Magnoliopsida; Arecales; Arecaceae.
AGAAGCAUCGCCAUUCGACCCGAUUUUAGAUAUUCGAGAGUGAUUUAAACGUAUGUAAUUGAUUGCAUCUUAAUUUGAAAAUUUUUUAUGUUCUUCAUCUCAUUAUUUGAAUCAUUUGGAAGUAAAAACAUCCAAAAAACUCCAAAAAAAAAAAAAGACGAUGGGUCGCUAAAUGUACCCUAUCGGUACGGCCUCGGUUCGGCUCGGUUCGGCAACGGUACCGUACCGAUACCGGAGCCGACCGGUACGUCGGUACCAUCGGUACCGCGAACCUUGGAUAGAAGGGAAUAAGAUCGCCUUACCUAGGACCUACUAAUAUGUAAACAUUUUGGUCCCUUUUGGUUGUUGGACAUGCUUGGUUAACUAGCUAAACAAGGCAUUUUUCUAUCAAAAAAUGUGACUUCUUCCUGGAGAAUAUGUUUGUUCUAGUCAAGGGGGGUUAUCCCCUAUUUCACGGAUAACUUUAUUUCAUGGAGAGAGGUGAAAUAAAGACAUUCUGCUGGUUAAGGGGUGAAUCAUUCCUUUCUUUUACCCUUCUCUUCUUUCAAAAGUUAUUCCUUAAUUAACCCCUUAUUACAAUAUCUUACAUGGAAUAGCAACUUCACAACCAAGUAGCCUUCAGGCUUAACUUAACAAUAAAGAAAUCUUGGAGGAAUACC